AUGCUUUGGAAGAAGCUUGUACAGUUUGGGAAGGGGUUUUUUGAGAGAAAAGAAGAAUCUACUUCAACAGAUAUGCCCUUAGGCACGGCCAUGCAUAACAUAGAAAUCACACGUGGAAGGGGUGGGCAAUUAGCUAGAGCAGCAGGUGCUGUAGCGAAACUCAUUGCAAAAGAGGGUAAAUCGGCCACUUUAAGAUUACCAUCUGGGGAGGUCCGUUUAGUAUCCCAAAACUGCUUAGCAACAGUCGGACAAGUGGGUAAUGUUGGGGUGAACCAAAAAAGUUUGGGUAGAGCCGGAUCUAGGUGUUGGCUAGGUAAACGCCCCGUAGUAAGAGGGGUAGUUAUGAACCCUGUGGACCACCCCCAUGGGGGCGGUGAAGGGAAAGAUCCCAUUGGUAGAAAAAAACCCACAACCCCUUGGGGUUAUCCUGCGCUUGGAAGAAGAACUAGGAAAAGGAAAAAAUAUAGCGAUAGUUUUAUUCUUCGUCGCCGUAAGUAA
Molecule: ribosomal RNA, 498 nt
Filed under: Triticum aestivum (bread wheat)
Lineage: Eukaryota; Viridiplantae; Streptophyta; Magnoliopsida; Poales; Poaceae
Description: partial small subunit ribosomal RNA
Source: RNAcentral